GGGCCCGUAGCUCAGUUGGUUAGAGCCUCCGGCUCAUAACCGGGUGGUCCUAGGUUCGAGUCCUAGCGGGCCCA
RNAcentral lists this transfer RNA (74 nucleotides) under Pseudomonadota bacterium. RNAcentral describes it as "Proteobacteria bacterium (freshwater sediment metagenome) tRNA-Ile". It matches the Rfam family "tRNA". From Rfam's summary of the family: Transfer RNA (tRNA) molecules are approximately 80 nucleotides in length. Their secondary structure includes four short double-helical elements and three loops (D, anti-codon, and T loops). Lineage: Bacteria; Pseudomonadati; Pseudomonadota. The record is from RNAcentral.